RNAcentral lists this long non-coding RNA (230 nucleotides) under Mytilus galloprovincialis (Mediterranean mussel). The record is from RNAcentral. Lineage: Eukaryota; Metazoa; Mollusca; Bivalvia; Mytilida; Mytilidae.
UGGCGCUGUAUAUAUUGUUGUAUUUUUAGUUACUAUAGAAACUUGUUUAGUACCAUGCAAACUUUGUUUAUUAUAUAAAGGUUACUUAAAUUGUAUAUUAUUGUGAUUUUUGUAAUUUAUUAAGAAUUCAAAUAUUUGGUUGGACGGCAAGCGCGCGAUCCAACAAUCCAACCAUCCAACUUUCCAACUAUCCAACAAUCCAACAAUCCAACAUUGACGUAAUUUCGACG